RNAcentral lists this ribosomal RNA (252 nucleotides) under uncultured bacterium. RNAcentral's name for it is "partial 16S ribosomal RNA". It matches the Rfam family "Bacterial small subunit ribosomal RNA", at positions 524 to 776 of the family's 1533-position model. The record is from RNAcentral.
UACGUAGGUCCCGAGCGUUGUCCGGAUUUAUUGGGCGUAAAGCGAGCGCAGGUGGUUUAUUAAGUCUGGUGUAAAAGGCAGUGGCUCAACCAUUGUAUGCAUUGGAAACUGGUAGACUUGAGUGCAGGAGAGGAGAGUGGAAUUCCAUGUGUAGCGGUGAAAUGCGUAGAUAUAUGGAGGAACACCAGUUGCGAAGGCGGCUCUCUGGACUGUAACUGACACUGAGGCACGAAAGCGUGGGGAGCAAACAGG